Molecule: ribosomal RNA, 524 nt
Filed under: uncultured bacterium
Lineage: Bacteria
Description: bacterial SSU rRNA
Rfam family: Bacterial small subunit ribosomal RNA
Source: RNAcentral
UGGGGAAUAUUGCACAAUGGGGGAAACCCUGAUGCAGCGACGCCGCGUGAGUGAAGAAGUAUUUCGGUAUGUAAAGCUCUAUCAGCAGGGAAGAUAAUGACAGUACCUGACUAAGAAGCCCCGGCUAACUACGUGCCAGCAGCCGCGGUAAUACGUAGGGGGCAAGCGUUAUCCGGAUUUACUGGGUGUAAAGGGAGCGUAGACGGAGUGGCAAGUCUGAAGUGAAAACCCUGGGCUUAACCUGGGGACUGCUUUGGAAACUGUUAAUCUAGAGUGUUGGAGAGGUAAGUGGAAUUCCUGGUGUAGCGGUGAAAUGCGUAGAUAUCAGGAAGAACACCGGAGGCGAAGGCGGCUUACUGGACAAUAACUGACGUUGAGGCUCGAAAGCGUGGGGAUCAAACAGGAUUAGAUACCCUGGUAGUCCACGCUGUAAACGAUGAAUACUAGGUGUCGGGGAGCAAAGCUUCUCGGUGCCGUCGCAAACGCAAUAAGUAUUCCACCUGGGGAGUACGUUCGCAAGAAUG